This is a non-coding RNA of Rattus norvegicus (Norway rat), 69 nucleotides long. The record is from Rfam. Lineage: Eukaryota; Metazoa; Chordata; Mammalia; Rodentia; Muridae.
GGGGAUUUGGCUCAGUGGUAGAGCACUUGCCUAGCAAGCACAAGGCCCUGGGUUCGGUCCCCAGCUCCG